GGUUUGUUCGUGAAUUGCAAUCAUCAUAUGGGCGGGGGUGAAUCCUUUGCAGACGACUUGAAUGGGAACGGCGUACUGUAAGCAGUAGAGUAGCCUUGUUGCUACGAUCUGCUGAGGUUAAGCGCUUGUUCUAUAGAUUUGU
RNAcentral lists this non-coding RNA (142 nucleotides) under Gelatoporia subvermispora B. Its description in RNAcentral is "Eukaryotic large subunit ribosomal RNA". It matches the Rfam family "Eukaryotic large subunit ribosomal RNA", at positions 3259 to 3401 of the family's 3401-position model. Lineage: Eukaryota; Fungi; Basidiomycota; Agaricomycetes; Polyporales; Gelatoporiaceae. The record is from Rfam by way of RNAcentral.